This 425-nucleotide ribosomal RNA is filed under the name uncultured bacterium. Its description in RNAcentral is "partial 16S ribosomal RNA". It matches the Rfam family "Bacterial small subunit ribosomal RNA", at positions 354 to 796 of the family's 1533-position model. The record is from RNAcentral.
GUGGGGAAUCUUGCGCAAUGGGCGAAAGCCUGACGCAGCCAUGCCGCGUGAAUGAUGAAGGUCUUAGGAUUGUAAAAUUCUUUCACCGGGGACGAUAAUGACGGUACCCGGAGAAGAAGCCCCGGCUAACUUCGUGCCAGCAGCCGCGGUAAUACGAAGGGGGCUAGCGUUGCUCGGAAUUACUGGGCGUAAAGGGCGCGUAGGCGGACAGUUUAGUCAGAGGUGAAAGCCCAGGGCUCAACCUUGGAAUUGCCUUUGAUACUGGCUGUCUUGAGUACGGGAGAGGUGAGUGGAACUCCGGGUGUAGAGGUGAAAUUCGUAGAUAUUCGGAAGAACACCAGUGGCGAAGGCGACUCACUGGCCCGUUACUGACGCUGAGGCGCGAAAGCGUGGGGAGCAAACAGGAUUAGAUACCCUGGUAGUCC